GACGAACGCUGGCGGCGUGCUUAACACAUGCAAGUCGAACGGAAAGGCCCUGCUUUUGUGGGGUGUUCGAGUGGCGAACGGGUGUGUAACACGUGAGUAACCUUCCCUUGACUUUGGGAUAACUUCAGGAAACUGGGGCUAAUACCUGAUAGGAGCUCCUGCUGCAUGGUGGGGGUUGGAACGUUUCGGCUGGUGGGGAUGGACUCGCGGCUUAUCAGCUUGUUGGUGGGGUAGUGGCUUACCAAGGCUUUGACGGGUAGUCGGCCUGAGAGGGUGACCGGCCACAUUGGGACUGAGAUACGGACCAGACUCCUACGGGAGGCAGCAGUGGGGAAUAUUGCACAAUGGGCGGAAGCCUGAUGCAGCAACGCCGCGUGCGGGAUGACGGCCUUCGGGUUGUAAACCGCUUUCGCCUGCGACGAAGCGUGAGUGACGGUAAUGGGUAAAGAAGCACCGGCUAACUACGUG
This 468-nucleotide ribosomal RNA is filed under the name uncultured bacterium. RNAcentral describes it as "partial 16S ribosomal RNA". It matches the Rfam family "Bacterial small subunit ribosomal RNA", at positions 28 to 507 of the family's 1533-position model. The record is from RNAcentral.